ACUCUUAGAAGCUGUAAAUAUGUCGCCCUUUCACGGCGCAAACAGGGGUUCGAUUCCCCUUGGGCGUACCA
Molecule: transfer RNA, 71 nt
Filed under: Phyllobacterium endophyticum
Lineage: Bacteria; Pseudomonadati; Pseudomonadota; Alphaproteobacteria; Hyphomicrobiales; Phyllobacteriaceae
Description: tRNA-Ser
Source: RNAcentral